CAGCCGCCGCGGUAAUACGGAGGGUGCAAGCGUUAAUCGGAAUUACUGGGCGUAAAGCGCACGCAGGCGGUCUGUCAAGUCAGAUGUGAAAUCCCCGGGCUUAACCUGGGAACUGCAUUUGAAACUGGCAGGCUAGAGUCUUGUAGAGGGGGGUAGAAUUCCAGGUGUAGCGGUGAAAUGCGUAGAGAUCUGGAGGAAUACCGAUGGCGAAGGCAGCCAUCUGGCCUAAUACUGACGCUGAGGUACGAAAGCAUGGGGAGCAAACAGGAUUAGAUACCCCAGUAGUCCCUGUCUCUUAUAC
This 301-nucleotide ribosomal RNA is filed under the name uncultured bacterium. RNAcentral's name for it is "partial 16S ribosomal RNA". It matches the Rfam family "Bacterial small subunit ribosomal RNA", at positions 509 to 807 of the family's 1533-position model. The record is from RNAcentral.